This is a non-coding RNA of Meloidogyne enterolobii, 89 nucleotides long. The record is from the annotation of a GenBank genome assembly. NCBI's taxonomy places the organism in Eukaryota, Metazoa, Nematoda, Chromadorea, Rhabditida, Meloidogynidae.
GCUCCGGUAGUUCAGUGGUAGAACACUGUUGAGCAAUGCCGAGCGAGUACUGUCAGAGUUGUCGCAGAUUCUAAUCCUGCCCGGUAGCU